Long non-coding RNA from Mastomys coucha (southern multimammate mouse), 438 nucleotides. RefSeq lists it as uncharacterized. The transcript is spliced from 3 exons. NCBI's taxonomy places the organism in Eukaryota, Metazoa, Chordata, Mammalia, Rodentia, Muridae. The record is from RefSeq and is a predicted model, not a curated record.
GUCAUGCCGAGUUUACCUGUACUGUUAGCAAUAACGCAUCAGCCAUUCAGUUCCUUCUGGCCGGCCCACUGCCUGUUCCAAUUCCUGAGUUUUAGUAAAGAGAUUCCUUGGGGCAGAGGGAGUGGAAAGGGAAGAGGUCAAAGAGAAAGUAGGGUAGGGUGUGCUCAUCCAACCUCUGUAGCACAUAGCUCUACGAUAUGUCACUCUGAAGCAAGCAAGUCUGAAACCAGACAUGGAAUACGGUAAAGCUAAAGCCACAGCGCAAUCUGCAGCAUCCGGGAGACACGGCUAACCAACACCCUUAUUAUUCACAGCUUAUGAUUCACCAGCCCUACUUUUUAAGUCAGCAUCACACUCUAAUCAUCUUGUGAGGUGAUAGCCCCCAAAUUAUUUGAAAAUAAUAUGAACUGAAUCCAUUAAAAUGACAUUAAGUAUUUC